Molecule: ribosomal RNA, 468 nt
Filed under: uncultured bacterium
Lineage: Bacteria
Description: partial 16S ribosomal RNA
Rfam family: Bacterial small subunit ribosomal RNA
Source: RNAcentral
GACGAACGCUGGCGGCGUGCUUAACACAUGCAAGUCGAACGGAAAGGCCCUGCUUUUGUGGGGUGCUCGAGUGGCGAACGGGUGAGUAACACGUAAGUAACCUGCCCUUGACUUUGGGAUAACUUCAGGAAACUGGGGCUACUACCGGAUAGGAGCUCCUGCUGCAUGGUGGGGGUUGGAAAGUUUCGGCGGGUGGGGAUGGACGCGCGGCUUAUCAGCUUGUUGGUGGGGUAGUGGCUUACCAAGGCUUUGACGGGUCGGCGGCCUGAGAGGGUGGCCGGCCUCAUUGGGACUGAGAUACGGCCCAGACGCGUACGGGAGGCAGCAGGGGGGAAUAUUGCACAAUGGGCGGAAGCCUGAUGCAGCGACGCCGCGUGCGGGAUGACGGCUUUCGGGUUGUGAACCGCAGUCGCCUGUGACGAAGCGGGAGUGACGGUAAUGGGUAAAGAAGCACCGGCUAACUACGUG